This 383-nucleotide ribosomal RNA is filed under the name uncultured bacterium. Its description in RNAcentral is "bacterial SSU rRNA". It matches the Rfam family "Bacterial small subunit ribosomal RNA", at positions 28 to 416 of the family's 1533-position model. The record is from RNAcentral.
GACGAACGCUGGCGGCGUGCUUAACACAUGCAAGUCGAACGGUGAAGCCUUCGGGUGGAUCAGUGGCGAACGGGUGAGUAACACGUGAGCAAUCUGCCCUUGACUCUGGGAUAACUUCGGGAAACCGGAGCUAAUACCGGAUAUGACAUCUGGCCGCAUGGUCUGGGUGUGGAAAGAUUUAUCGGUCAAGGAUGAGCUCGCGGCCUAUCAGCUUGUUGGGGGGUAAUGGCCCACCAAGGCGACGACGGGUAGCCGGCCUGAGAGGGCGACCGGCCACACUGGGACUGAGACACGGCCCAGACUCCUACGGGAGGCAGCAGUGGGGAAUAAUUGCGCAAUGGGCGGAAGCCUGACGCAGCGACGCCGCGUGAGGGAUGAAGGCC